Molecule: ribosomal RNA, 253 nt
Filed under: uncultured bacterium
Lineage: Bacteria
Description: partial 16S ribosomal RNA
Rfam family: Bacterial small subunit ribosomal RNA
Source: RNAcentral
UACAGAGGGUGCAAGCGUUGUCCGGAAUUACUGGGCGUAAAGAGCGCGUAGGUGGCGCUGUACGACUGGUGUGAAAGCCCCCGGCUCAACUGGGGAGGGUCAUCGGUAACGGCAGUGCUUGAGUGCAGGAGAGGGACGUGGAACUCCGGGAGUAGCGGUGAAAUGCGUAGAGACCCGGAGGAACACCAGUGGCGAAGGCGGCGUCCUGGUCUGCAACUGACGCUGUGGCGCGAAAGCUAGGGGAGCGAACGGG